AAGUCGUAACAAGGUUUCCGUAGGUGAACCUGCGGAAGGAUCAUUAUCGAGAUAGGGUCUCCGAGCCCGAACCUCCCAUCCCGUGUCCACUACACCUGUUGCUUUGGCGGGCCCGUGGGCUCGUCCCCACCGACGGCUCCGGCCGACCAGUGCCCGCCAGAGUCCCACCAAACUCCGAUCAACCGUGACGUCCGAGUUACCACAUAUCAAUAAUCAAAACUUUCAACAACGGAUCUCUUGGUUCUGGCAUCGAUGAAGAACGCAGCGAAAUGCGAUAAGUAAUGUGAAUUGCAGAAUUCAGUGAAUCAUCGAAUCUUUGAACGCACAUUGCGCCCCCUGGCAUUCCGGGGGGCAUGCCUGUUCGAGCGUCAUUACGCCUCUCAAGCUCUGCUUGGUCUUGGGUCCACGUUCGUCUCCGAACCGACCCCAAAAUCAGUGGCGGUGCGGCCCGGCUUCAAGCGCAGUAAUCUUCAUCCGCUUUGGAAGUCCCGGGCCGUGGUGGCCAGACAACCACGAAACCCUUUCUCAGGUUGACCUCGGAUCAGGUAGGGAUACCCGCUGAACUUAA
RNAcentral lists this ribosomal RNA (568 nucleotides) under Phaeopyxis punctum. RNAcentral's name for it is "eukaryotic LSU rRNA". The stretch from base 218 to 371 matches the Rfam family "5.8S ribosomal RNA". Lineage: Eukaryota; Fungi; Ascomycota; Lecanoromycetes. The record is from RNAcentral.